GGAGAGGUGGCCGAGUGGCUGAAGGCACCGGUUUGCUAAACCGGCAUACUGGGUUUACUGGUAUCGAGGGUUCGAAUCCCUUCCUCUCCG
RNAcentral lists this transfer RNA (90 nucleotides) under Deltaproteobacteria bacterium. RNAcentral describes it as "tRNA-Ser". It matches the Rfam family "tRNA". Rfam says of the family: Transfer RNA (tRNA) molecules are approximately 80 nucleotides in length. The record is from RNAcentral. RNAcentral also lists the same sequence under 3 other names. Lineage: Bacteria; Pseudomonadati; Myxococcota; Myxococcia.